GAUGUGCUGUAAUGAUUGAUUGCGAUUUACAUCAACCGUCUUGUACGAACAACUAGUAGAAUAUUCAAAUUUUUCAAAUAAGAAGAGGUUUGUUCUUAAAUAAUGAGAACCAUACAAGAAUUGAUAACGUCGUUGAGAAAAAUAUAAAUCAAGACGUAAAAUUAAGGGUGAAAAGGAAAAAGUAUUGUAUAGUAAUUAGGAAGAUUCGAUUGUCUGAAACUGAAUUUACUUAUUUUCUAUUGCUGAAACAUUUUUUUCAAAAGUUUGUGUUUUCAAACACUCUGUUAAUAUUCUAAGAGGACUUCCCAAGAAGCUAACAACCGUGAAGACCAGCAACAACUGUAUUAUUCUAAUCAUCGAGAGAAGAUCAAAUCGAAUUGGAUUUUUAAAGCCGCAACUCAUUAACUGAUGAAGCAAAAAUAAGUAUCGAUAUCUAAGGUUAAGAUAGAAGAAUCUUUGUUCUGUCAGAGUCUUUGAUUUUGGUCCUUGUUUUAACUUACGUAUUGUUUACAAUCAUCUCUUCAUUACUGAAUUCUUUUUCAUUGUUGGCAUUGUUUGGUUUAAUUUGUAUGCAUAUUUUCAUGUUUUUGGUGUAACUGUAACAAUUUUUGUUUGUUGAUUUUAUACAAAAAGUUGAACUUUGAAAGUAAGUACUAGUAAUAAAUCAAAAUUCUGUAUAUAUAAAUAAGGUGGUCCAGAAGUAACAAAUAUAGUUUUUUUACUUUAUUGAGUUUUAAAUUAUAAUCAUACCAUCGCCUAUUUUUAUUUCCAAUCUGUAAACUUUUGUGCAAAACUUUAUUAUUCUCUUUCAACCCCCUUGGAGCAAAAGCCAUCCCUUUUUAAAUUAUCAAUGGAA
This is a long non-coding RNA of Aethina tumida (small hive beetle), 856 nucleotides long. RefSeq lists it as uncharacterized. NCBI's taxonomy places the organism in Eukaryota, Metazoa, Arthropoda, Insecta, Coleoptera, Nitidulidae. The record is from RefSeq and is a predicted model, not a curated record. The transcript is spliced from 3 exons.